ACUCCUACGGGAGGCAGCAGUGGGGAAUAUUGCACAAUGGGCGCAAGCCUGAUGCAGCCAUGCCGCGUGUGUGAAGAAGGCCUUCGGGUUGUAAAUGCACUUCAGUUGUGAGGAAGGUGGUGUCGUUAAUAGCGGCAUCAUUUGACGUUAGCAACAGAAGAAGCACCGGCUAACUCCGUGCCAGCAGCCGCGGUAAUACGGAGGGUGCGAGCGUUAAUCGGAAUUACUNGGGCGUAAAGCGCAUGCAGGUGGUUUGUUAAGUCAGAUGUGAAAGCCCGGGGCUCAA
Molecule: ribosomal RNA, 286 nt
Filed under: uncultured bacterium
Lineage: Bacteria
Description: partial 16S ribosomal RNA
Rfam family: Bacterial small subunit ribosomal RNA
Source: RNAcentral